This 207-nucleotide ribosomal RNA is filed under the name uncultured bacterium. Its description in RNAcentral is "partial 16S ribosomal RNA". It matches the Rfam family "Bacterial small subunit ribosomal RNA", at positions 568 to 774 of the family's 1533-position model. The record is from RNAcentral.
GGCGCAGACGGCGAAGCAAGUCUGAAGUGAAAUGCAUGGGCUCAACCCAUGAAUUGCUUUGGAAACUGUUUGGCUUGAGUGUCGGAGGGGUAAGCGGAAUUCCUAGUGUAGCGGUGAAAUGCGUAGAUAUUAGGAGGAACACCGGAGGCGAAGGCGGCUUACUGGACGACAACUGACGUUGAGGCUCGAAGGCGUGGGGAGCAAACA